RNAcentral lists this ribosomal RNA (253 nucleotides) under uncultured bacterium. RNAcentral describes it as "partial 16S ribosomal RNA". It matches the Rfam family "Bacterial small subunit ribosomal RNA", at positions 524 to 776 of the family's 1533-position model. The record is from RNAcentral.
UACGUAGGGUGCAAGCGUUAAUCGGAAUUACUGGGCGUAAAGCGUGCGCAGGCGGUGAUGUAAGACAGAUGUGAAAUCCCCGGGCUCAACCUGGGAACUGCAUUUGUGACUGCAUCGCUAGAGUACGGCAGAGGGGGAUGGAAUUCCGCGUGUAGCAGUGAAAUGCGUAGAUAUGCGGAGGAACACCGAUGGCGAAGGCCAUCCCCUGGGCCUGCACUGACGCUCAUGCACGAAAGCGUGGGGAGCAAACAGG